Monomorium pharaonis (pharaoh ant) is the source of this 2511-nucleotide long non-coding RNA. RefSeq lists it as uncharacterized. NCBI's taxonomy places the organism in Eukaryota, Metazoa, Arthropoda, Insecta, Hymenoptera, Formicidae. The transcript has 2 exons. The record is from RefSeq and is a predicted model, not a curated record.
AGGCACGCGCGGGAGGGGGAGGGGGUUCCGCGCUGGUAUCCUAUCUACCAGUGCCUAUGAGGCGAUGCCGCGCAGGUUGAAGGCGACUUAGGUAGGGACGUGGUAUGAGGGGCAGGCGGACUAGUCGCUCCAGAUGCUCGACAUUGUAAAGACUCUCUGCAAUAAAGUUAAGGCGUUUUCAUUUAUCCACGAUGGAUUCUCAACCGUCAACGAUUUUUAAAUUUACUCCAUAUUACUUUACAGCUGCGAUAUACUUUAUAUAAAUAUAUCAGCGUAUUUAUGUAAUCUAAUUGGUGUCUACCUGUGUUCGUAAUAAAUUCUGAUAUUACUUUUUUAGGCAAAACUUUGUGUUCGCGAUUUAAAUUAUUUUAAUUUAAAUUGGCUGUUUUCUCUCUCGGUUUCUAUGUUCCUAAGAAAUGCUGGUUUUCAGUAAAAAAAAAACAAAUUUUUUACUGAAGUUAAUGACGACUUUUACCUUUUGGCGAAUUUGAUACAUCGAUCAACCCCGUGGAUAUCAGAUCGAAUUUCUCAAGUAAUGCUGGCGUCAGCUGGCUCCAACUAAAAAAGUAAUCAACUAAAAAUCUUUCCUCGUAUUCCUUCAUUCUUUUCGAAUAUAUUGAGUAUUACGUUUCACCUGUAGGAAGUACAGAUGUAAAGUGUGAUAAUGUGUAUCAAGCUUCAGCCAUUAAUAGAUACUGAUAAAAGAAAAGACGAAAUCUUUGUUAUCGGAACACAUAGCGAUGCUAAACAAAGUUCAACAUUAUCUCUAUAUUCCAAUUAAUGACACGUACAUUACGUGGAUCUUUGUAUUUAAUUAGCAUUCUAUUUUAUAAAAGUUAGAUGUGUACCUUUAAAUUAAAUAUUAAUUAAUGAAAAAGUUUACAAGUCUUAUUUCUCUCUUCACUAUUUCUAAAAUCCGAUAUAGGUGUAACUACUGCCCUUGGACGUUUCCCCCUGCUACGUUGCACAAAAAUCUGGCGAGUGCGAAAGUUGCGUAGUCGCAAUUCCGAAUACGCGCGUAACAACGUAAGCGGAUAAAAGGCCAACAAACGAAAGUAAGUAUUAUUAUGCAGCGCCUGGAAAUGUCUCCUUAAUCGCAUUACCGAUUUUUUUCUCAUACGGUUGCGAGCAAUGAUACCCACGUCACAUAAAGCCCAGUGAACGGCGUCGUCUCUUUCGACUCUUUUUUAUUGGCCCACCUCAUUGCUGAAACAUUCGCGUUCAAACGACUCCCCGGCUGUGGGGGAGAAGGUAGGAAUGGAGCAGUGUCGCAUUACGUUAAAACGCAUUGUAAUAUGCGUGUCGGGGAGAACCGCGUCCACUUGGCGCGGACCGACCACCGUUCGGGACUGGGUUACGCUACCACAGCGCGACGUCGUAAAACUCACCGGCGUCGUAGCCUCCUGUAAAACGAGCGCGCGGCACGACGCGUAUGGAAAUUGAUAGCGUGUAUUUCUAUGCCCGUCAGCUUUUCAAACGUAGCCCCGCGUACAGCCGCUCCAUGCACGCGCGUACGCGUAACGUCGGGACAUAUAGCCGAGCGUAGAGCUCUAGAAGCAGCCCCAGCCUCGUUGUCGGGCGAUCUUCAAACGGUCAUCCUGUGAAUCCAUUUCGCGAACUCGUUUCGACACGGUACGCACCUGAAAGGGGACAAAGAGACACGGAGGGAACGUUGACGAAUCGGUCGGCUCGAUCGCGUGUCGUAACGGUACGCGAUGACGUACAUCGGCUCUCUUUCCCAAAAGGUCGGGAUGCCAAGUACAAGGCCGCCUUGGACUAUUCCUGCGUGAGAAGAAGAUCGCGCUUGAAUGGGCGAGACUUUGUAUUUACAUAGCAUUAGCCUUUUGUAGCGGAAUGCAGUAUGUGUGUGUGUGUGUGUGUGUGAAUGGCAUCGGCGCGUCAUUGUUUCGGGCUCCGAUUGACGGAACGAUUCUCCCUCACUACGCUUCCUUAAUGUCUACGUACGCUAAUUAACGGAAUGUACUUGUCAAGCUUGCCGUACAAGAACGUCCGUAAUGCAUUACGUUAAGUACUUUUUAAACUGUUUAAAUCGAUUUUAAAUGUAUCACGUUGCGACUUUCUUUGUGUGUUAACAUAAGUUACUGUUACGGAGAGGAAGAAAGACAGAGAGAGAGAUUCAACUUUAAACUGAGUACUUGACAUAACUUAACGCGUUACGGAUAUGGAGAUUCUAAAUUGUUUCAGGGUGACACAACUUAGCCUGACUUAAGUAUUCUACUCGUUAGGAAUAUAACUUCGAAAGAACGUCAUGGAAAUUCUUGAAGCUCACAAACCUACAGUUUAUAUUGUAGUUCUCAUCAUGAAUAAUUUCUGAAAUCUUAGAUUUUAACUUUUUUAACAUUUGGUCAAGCGGCUUAAAUUUUGUUUCUUUACUUGCAAACUUAUUAUAGCUAGUUCGUUAAUAGCUUAGUACAUGCUUUCUUUAUUUUAUGAUAAUACCUUGCACAUGGAAUAUUGUUCAUACUCUGUAAUAAAUCAAAUGCGAAAGGC